RNAcentral lists this transfer RNA (71 nucleotides) under Camelus bactrianus (Bactrian camel). It matches the Rfam family "tRNA". Rfam says of the family: Transfer RNA (tRNA) molecules are approximately 80 nucleotides in length. Their secondary structure includes four short double-helical elements and three loops (D, anti-codon, and T loops). RNAcentral also lists the same sequence under 3 other names. The record is from Rfam by way of RNAcentral. Lineage: Eukaryota; Metazoa; Chordata; Mammalia; Artiodactyla; Camelidae.
GGGUGUGUGGCUAAUGGUAGAGCACAUGCUUAGCAUGCAUGAGGUCUUGGGUUCAAUCCCCAGUACCUCCA